AUUCUGUGACGGCACCGUACUGGGAGAACAAAACCUGGAUUUCAUCCUUGUCUGCCUCCCGAGGGAGGUUCCCAAUGAAGAUCUUGACCAUACUUGAAGCAGUGUUGUAGAAAGCCUGAUGUGAGGGGGGAAAGCUUAAUGAGACUAUGCGAACCAGCGAGAUGGUCAUUUAAACUAAGUACAGUGGUGCACUUGUUAUCGGCAUCAAGCAUGGGUGCUAGUAAUCUAGUAGAAUGUUAGCUAACCACUUUCGACAGAAACCGAUGGUUCUAAAACCUCGAUAAGUUUAUUAUUUCAGCAAUAUUAUCAUGUCCAAAUUUUAUAGAAGCAAAAAUAAAAAUUCAUAGAAAACGGCGUCGAAUAUUGUAAAUCUCGUUGUCUUGCUACAUUACCUAGCUAAAGUAGCUAAUUUAGCUAGCUUGCCACCCCAAUACGCACGUACCCGUUCGAGAAACGGUACUCCAAAAUAUUUUAUUGCAAAACAGAAUAUUUUUCAAUGCGGGUAGACAGAGUUCAUACCUCGAGUCAAUGUCAAAUGUUUUAGCAGUAGCUAUUUAUUUUCUAUUGACCAAGAAAGAUUGAAUGGAACGCUUACCUCAAUCAGUUAGCUGCUUCACGGUCGUGAAAAAAAAUGGCUACACCGGCGUGCUAAAGAAGCCCGCCUAUAGAGAUGCGUCAACACAGCUGAUUGGUUAGACAACCGUUGUUCAUUGAUUAGCCUGGGAAUGGACCAAUGGAACAACAUCUACGUUUAUUCGAGUAAUUCAGACCACCAAUGACACUUCAAGUUGUUACAAUGUAGCCAACACACAAGAGUAGGCCAGCGAUACGGACCACCUCUGUCUGUGUCAUGAAUUAGUUAGCUAUAAAUGUAUAAUACUAAAUAGCUUGUAGGGUUGGUUAUUAUCCUAGUUAGGUACAUAUGAAUAUACUACUAUUCGAACCAACUAAUUCAAAUGGUAUUACAUAUAUUAGCUUGCCUGUUAUACGUAUUUUAUUUAACAAACAUUUUUCUGUUUAAAAAGAACAACUUUAUUACCGCCAUUAUCUGUCGGGCUAUGUGUUGCAUGCAACCAUCAGUUUCAAAGCUUCUGAUUUUUUUUGCCAUUCUGAUUAGAUGGCAGUCAAUUGAAGUAAACUCUCCUUUCCCAAAACAGAUCAUUUGACACGCAACUGAAUCACAUAAUUAUUUGGUUUAAUUGAUACUGCGUCUUUUAAGACUGUACUCACACGGUCAUAAAAUAGAUAUAUGGGCCCGUCUGUUAUUGAAAAGCGUAAGGAAGUUGCAUGGAGCCUUCAAAGGUGAACGCAUAAAACAGACGUUCCCUAAGCAUCUCAUGCUAUUUGGAAAUUACAUAAUUUCCCAUCACAGGAUCAAGGCAAGCAGCAGUCACUGCCACUGGGGGUGCUGUUUCGGGUGCUGCUGACGUAACGAUCGUCCUCUUGCCGUUUUUUGCUGUCCAGUUCCCUCCAACACUCGUUAUAGUUGGCACACAACUUGGCGUGUCAGUAGACAAUUCGCUGUACCCGUUGAAGUAGACAAAGCAACCUUUUGAGACGCUGCGGGCAAAACAACUAUUCUUACCACCGAGAUAAAGACCAUUUCAAGUUGGAUAUUCACGCUUUCAAACCUCAAUCCACUUGAGCCACAGACACCAAACCAAGUUAACCAGAAAGUGAAAGACAACAUCCCUUCAAUUGCAUCAGCCAUCAUAAGAUACAUCAUGGAGGUGUCUCACACCGUGGAAACAGAGGAGCAGAUGACAUGCCUCCAGAUCUACACUGCAUAUUACCCCUGGACACAAGUACCAGGCUGAGGACCCAGUGAGGCAAUUGUGCAUUGAGUUUCUUUCAUAGAUUACUUUUACUACAAUAACAGCCAUAUUGUAUUAUUUUCUCUUUAAAUUAGAAGCAGUUUUCUUAAAAUGCUUAACAUUCUGAAAGCUUAAAUCAAAAUGUUGACUGUACCUCAAAUGUUUUUAUAUUCCACCUUGUAAACCACUCCAAGUAUUAUUCGGACUUAUGUUAUUUUAUCAAAUGUGACACUAAAGAAUGUGAAUAUUACCCUUUUUCAUGAUACCCAAAUAAGAGCAAGUAUCAGAAUUCAAUGAAGGACGAUGUUAGGGUGGGGGAAGGAUAUUGUUAUGUCACCGUUUUGGAAAUGUUGAUUAUAACAAUUACACCGUUUUGAUUUGAUUAUCGUGUUAAAGGCUUUGGCAAGUACAAGCAACACAUUUUACCUGUGAGGAAUAAAGGCACAUUCUGAAAAACUGUC
This is a long non-coding RNA of Oncorhynchus kisutch (coho salmon), 2275 nucleotides long. RefSeq lists it as uncharacterized. Lineage: Eukaryota; Metazoa; Chordata; Actinopteri; Salmoniformes; Salmonidae. The record is from RefSeq and is a predicted model, not a curated record. The transcript has 2 exons.